UUGCGGUUAAAAAGCUCGUAGUUGAAUCUGUGUCCCACGCUGCCGGUUCGCCGCUCGCGGUGUUUAACUGGCAUGAUUGUGGGACGUCCUACCGGUGGGCUUAGCCUCUCGGGGCGGCCCAACUAAUAUCCCAUCGCGGUGCUCUUCACUGAGUGUCGAGGUGGGCCGGUACGUUUACUUUGAACAAAUUAGAGUGCUUAAAGCAGGCUAUUUUCGCUUGAAUACUGUGUGCAUGGAAUAAUGGAAUAGGACCUCGGUUCUAUUUUGUUGGUUUUCGGAACCCCGAGGUAAUGAUUAAUAGGGACAGAUGGGGGCAUUCGUAUUGCGACGUUAGAGGUGAAAUUCUUGGAUCGUCGCAAGACGGACAGAAGCGAAAGCAUUUGCCAAAAAUGUUUUCUUUAAUCAAGAACGAAAGUUAGAGGUUCGAAGGCGAUCAGAUACCGCCCUAGUUCUAACCAUAAACGAUGCCAGCUAGCGAUCCGCCGAAGUUCCUCCGAUGACUCGGCGGGCAGCUUCCGGGAAACCAAAGCUUUUGGGUUCCGGGGGAAGUAUGGUUGCAAAGCUGAAACUUAAAGGAAUUGACGGAAGGGCACCACCAGGAGUGGAGCCUGCGGCUUAAUUUGACUCAACACGGGAAACCUCACCAGGCCCGGACACCGGAAGGAUUGACAGAUUGAGAGCUCUUUCUUGAUUCGGUGGGUGGUGGUGCAUGGCCGUUCUUAGUUGGUGGAGCGAU
This 736-nucleotide ribosomal RNA is filed under the name Macrophya sp. YI-2013a. Its description in RNAcentral is "SSU rRNA". It matches the Rfam family "Eukaryotic small subunit ribosomal RNA", at positions 613 to 1310 of the family's 1831-position model. The record is from RNAcentral. RNAcentral also lists the same sequence under 7 other names. Lineage: Eukaryota; Metazoa; Arthropoda; Insecta; Hymenoptera; Tenthredinidae.